This is a long non-coding RNA of Melanaphis sacchari, 694 nucleotides long. RefSeq lists it as uncharacterized. The record is from RefSeq and is a predicted model, not a curated record. NCBI's taxonomy places the organism in Eukaryota, Metazoa, Arthropoda, Insecta, Hemiptera, Aphididae. The transcript has 3 exons.
AGAGAGUUUUCCACUAAGAGAUUACCGCCAUGAAGUAAAUUUUAUGAAAUCAACGGGUAAGUAUAAGAUAUUAUGAAAGUUCUUAAUUCAUUGUUAAAUUUAUAAAUGAAAACCACUUUUUCGAUAAAACUAACACUUCUUAUUGUUAUUUUUAAAAGUAAUAUUAUCGUUAUCUUAUUUUCAUUACACUCAUUUGAGUCACUAGUUAUGACUAAGGACUAUAACUUGUAAGACAAGUAUUAACGGCUAUAAUUAUAUGAUCAUAGAAGGCCGUACCUAGGAGGGUACUCUCCUUGGAAAUUUUCUUGCAUUACACAAAUUAAAAAUUUAACAUCCUUUUUUUUUUAUUAUUAAUAAAUAAUAAUAUAGCAUUAUACCACAAACAAUUGCAAUAUAGCGCGAAGUACUUGAAACAUAUUCUGUAGCUGAAACUUAUUUUCAAACAAUUAUUUUACCUUGCCAACUGCAGCGCCCGAAAGGACAUUUUAUUCUCUAAAAAUAAUUAAGAACUAUUUGCUAAAUAUAUAUACCACUGAAGAUAGACUAAUUGGUUUAGCAUUACUUUAUGUACAUAGUACAUAAAAAUAUCCAUGUAAAUCCUGAGGUACUUAGUGAUCAACUGUACUUUAAAAUAAAAAAAGAAAUAUUUAAAAUUUGUGCUGUAAAAUUUAAUUAAAUUUUAUAAUAUGUAUUA